Molecule: ribosomal RNA, 134 nt
Organism: Cricetulus griseus (Chinese hamster)
Lineage: Eukaryota; Metazoa; Chordata; Mammalia; Rodentia; Cricetidae
Source: Ensembl
ACUUACAGCCAUACCACCCUGAAUGUGCCUAAGCUUGGAAGCUAAGUGGGUCAGGCCUGGUUAGUACUUGGAUGGGAGUUACACUUUCUAUAUGAGUUUGCUAACAGAACUUGACACAAGAGCCUUUGUGAAGU